This 468-nucleotide ribosomal RNA is filed under the name uncultured bacterium. RNAcentral's name for it is "partial 16S ribosomal RNA". It matches the Rfam family "Bacterial small subunit ribosomal RNA", at positions 28 to 507 of the family's 1533-position model. The record is from RNAcentral.
GACGAACGCUGGCGGCGUGCUUAACACAUGCAAGUCGAACGGAAAGGCCCUGCUUUUGUGGGGUUCUCGAGUGGCGAACGGGUGAGUAACACGUGAGUAACCUGCCCUUGACUUUGGGAUAACUUCAGGAAACUGGGGCUACUACCGGAUAGGAGCUCCUGCUGCAUGGUGGGCGUUGGAAAGUUUCGGCGUUUGGGGAUGGACUCGCGGCUUAUCAGCUUGUUGGUGGGGUAGUGGCUUACCAAGGCUUUGACGGGUAGACGGCCUGAGAGGGUGACCGGCCACAUUGGGACUGAGAGGCGGCCCAGACGCCUAAGGGAGGCAGCAGUGGGGAAUAUUGCACAAUGGGCGGAAGCCUGAUGCAGCAACGCCGCGUGCUGGAUGACGGCCUUCGGGUUGUAAACCGCUUUCGCCUGUGACGAAGCGUGAGUGACGGUAAUGGGUAAAGAAGCACCGGCUAACUACGUG